RNAcentral lists this ribosomal RNA (414 nucleotides) under Rhogostoma micra. RNAcentral's name for it is "eukaryotic LSU rRNA". The stretch from base 336 to 414 matches the Rfam family "Eukaryotic large subunit ribosomal RNA", at positions 1 to 79 of the family's 3401-position model. The record is from RNAcentral. Lineage: Eukaryota; Cercozoa; Thecofilosea; Cryomonadida; Rhogostomidae.
GCAGAAUUCCGCGAAUCAUCGAAUUUUUGAACGCAAAUGGCGCUCUCGGGUUACCCCCAAGAGCACACCUCUCUGAGUGUCGGUUAAACCCUAUGCCCUUGACUGAUCCUGUCGGGCGACAGACUGAGGGUAAGGGGGCUUGUCCCCUUUUCCCUUUAAAUUUUAACCGCACGCAUUGGCGCGGUGAAGGCAAGUUGCUUUCACUUAAUUGUGAAUUCAAUCCUUUGUCCCCUCUGCGACGCAGGCAAAAGAAACAAACAGUGGCAAGAAAUGAACCCCUUCAAAGACGUGAAACUCCGCGAAGGGAUGGUAGUGGAUUGCACACUUUAUGAAUUAGACCUCAGAUGAAGUGGGAAGACCCCCUGAAUUUAAGCAUAUUAUUAAGGGGAGGAAAAGAAACUAACAAGGAUUCCC